CCUACGGGAGGCAGCAGUGAGGAAUAUUGGUCAAUGGACGAGAGUCUGAACCAGCCAAGUAGCGUGAAGGAUGACUGCCCUAUGGGUUGUAAACUUCUUUUAUAAAGGAAUAAAGUGAGGCACGUGUGCCUUUUUGUAUGUACUUUAUGAAUAAGGAUCGGCUAACUCCGUGCCAGCAGCCGCGGUAAUACGGAGGAUCCGAGCGUUAUCCGUAUUUAUUGGGUUUAAAGGGAGCGUAGAUGGGUUGUUAAGUCAGUUGUGAAAGUUUGCGGCUCAACCGUAAAAUUGCAAUUGAUACUGGCAGUCUUGAGUACAGUUGAGGUGGGCGGAAUUCGUGGUGUAGCGGUGAAAUGCUUAGAUAUCACGAAGAACUCCGAUUGCGAAGGCAGUUCACUAAACUGCCACUGACACUGAGGCUCGAAAGUGUGGGUAUCAAACAGGAUUAGAUACCCUAGUAGUC
This 460-nucleotide ribosomal RNA is filed under the name uncultured bacterium. RNAcentral describes it as "partial 16S ribosomal RNA". It matches the Rfam family "Bacterial small subunit ribosomal RNA", at positions 338 to 795 of the family's 1533-position model. The record is from RNAcentral.